This 74-nucleotide transfer RNA is filed under the name Elusimicrobiota bacterium. Its description in RNAcentral is "Elusimicrobia bacterium (groundwater metagenome) tRNA-Arg". It matches the Rfam family "tRNA". From Rfam's summary of the family: Transfer RNA (tRNA) molecules are approximately 80 nucleotides in length. Their secondary structure includes four short double-helical elements and three loops (D, anti-codon, and T loops). Further hydrogen bonds mediate the characteristic L-shaped molecular structure. tRNAs have two regions of fundamental functional importance: the anti-codon, which is responsible for specific mRNA codon recognition, and the 3' end, to which the tRNAs corresponding amino acid is attached (by aminoacyl-tRNA synthetases). tRNAs cope with the degeneracy of the genetic code in two manners: having more than one tRNA (with a specific anti-codon) for a particular amino acid; and 'wobble' base-pairing, i.e. permitting non-standard base-pairing at the 3rd anti-codon position. The record is from RNAcentral. Lineage: Bacteria; Pseudomonadati; Elusimicrobiota.
GCGCCUGUAGCUCAACUGGAUAGAGCGUCGGGCUUCGAACCCGCAGGCUGGGCGUUCAAAUCGCCCCAGGCGCA